UGAAUACGAGAUGCUACGGCGUCGAAGCAGUCUAUGUCAUACUUCCAAGAAAAGCUCGCACUGUCAUAAACAAAUAAUGCCUGUACCAUAACCGACACAGGUGGGUAGGUAGAGUAUACUAAGGGGCGCGAGAUAACUCUCUCUAAGGAACUCGGCAAAAUGACUCCGUAACUUCGGGAGAAGGAGUGCCUUAUUUAUAAGGUUGCAAUAACAAGAUCCAAGCAACUGUUUAUCAAAAACACAGGUCUCCGCUAAGUCGUAAGACGAUGUAUGGGGGCUGACGCCUGCCCAGUGCCAGAAGGUUAAAGAAGUUGGUAGCAUUCGCGAAGCUGAUAACUGAAGCCCUGGUGAACGGCGGCCGUAACUAUAACGGUCCUAAGGUAGCGAAAUUCCUUGUCGGGUAAGUUCCGACCCGCACGAAAGGCGUAAUGAUUUGGAUACUGUCUCGGAGAGGGGCUCGGUGAAAUAGACUUGUCUGUGAAGAUGCGGACUACCUGCACCAGGACAGAAAGACCCUAUGAAGCUUUACUGUAACUUGAGAUUGAAAUUGGACUUUACUUGCGCAGUAUAGGUGGGAGGCGUUGAUAAUAUUCUUGCGGGAUUAUUUGAGCCAUCAGUGAGAUACCACUCUUGUAAUGUUAGAUUUCUAACUUUGUAUCAUUAUCUGGUCAAAGGACAGUUUCAGGCGGGCAGUUUGACUGGGGCGGUCGCCUCCUAAACGGUAACGGAGGCACACAAAGGUUUCCUCUGAACGGGUAGAAAUCGUAUCUAGAGUGUAAAGGCAUAAGGAGGCUUGACUGUGAGACCUACAAGUCGAGCAGGGACGAAAGUCGGUCUUAGUGAUCUGACGGUGCUGAGUGGAAAGGCCGUCACUCAACGGAUAAAAGUUACUCUAAGGAUAACAGGCUGAUCUCCCCCAAGAGUUCACAUCGACGGGGAGGUUUGGCACCUCGAUGUCGGCUCAUCGCAUCCUGGGGCGGUAGUACGUCCCAAGGGUUGGGCUGUUCGCCCAUGAAAGCGGUACGCGAGCUGGGUUCAGAACGUCGUGAGACAGUUCGGUCCAUAUCCGGUGUAGGCGUUAGAAUAUUGAGAGGAGCCUUCUUUAGUACGAGAGGACCGAGAAGGACAUACCUCUGGUGUACCAGUUAUCGUGCCAACGGUAAACGCUGGGUAGCUAUGUAUGGAGUGGAUAACCGCUGAAAGCAUCUAAGUGGGAAGCCCACCUCAAGAUAAGUAUUCUC
This 1241-nucleotide ribosomal RNA is filed under the name metagenome. RNAcentral describes it as "bacterial LSU rRNA". It matches the Rfam family "Bacterial large subunit ribosomal RNA", at positions 1564 to 2815 of the family's 2925-position model. The record is from RNAcentral.